GUUCGAGGCCAGCCUGGACUACAAAGUGAGCUCAAGGCUAGCCUGACCCCGGUCCUUCGCCUCUCAUUUUUCUUUUAACGCCUGUUCUUGGGGCUCCGCUCACCACCCAGGAUUGCAGACUGAAUCACUGGCCCCAGGGCUUGCCACGUACUACCUCGUUUAAUCCUCAAAGCAGCCACAUUAAGCAGAUAAUACUAGUGUUCCUUGUUCGUAUGAGGAAACUGAGGUACAACCCGCUGUGUAAAUGGCCGAUUGACCACAGCAGGCAAGGGUGUGAAUCCAGACACUCCGGUUUUUUAACCACAACGUUGCACUAGAGAUCUAGUAGUAGGCGACCAUCUAUUCUUUUCUCUUUACUGAUAAAGGAAGGCAGUCAACGUGAUUAUUUCAGUAAUGCUACCUAUUUUCUUCAGAUAAAUAUAUAAUUCCUUCUACCUUCAUGAUCGUCGAGACUCCAAAUUGCGUAUGACUUAUGGGAGAACAGGAAGGGGCAGUAUCUCUGAUUCUGCCCUUUCCCCACCACUGGUAAUAGUUAUUAUGAGGAUAUUGGUGGCUGUGUGCCCAAAGUAGGAAUACAGCGUGGUUUUGAACCUCGGUGUUAUUGACGUUUGGACCAGACUGUUUGUUGGGAGUAGAGGUUCUUUUCUCAGUAAAGGAAUUGCACUUCCCUGCCUCUUUGCAAUCUACUGACCUUGAAUACGGAUGAGGUCAUAUUUGAUGUCCUUUUACAUUUGGCUGGAAACCCAAGCCAACCUUUGGAAAUACAAGGUCUUAACUAGAACAGUGAUGCAGUAGACUUUGGCAUUUCCAUGUUUAGGAGAAUGGAAAUAGAGAUACUACAGCCACUUCUUCCUACCACCCUCAACACAGUCACCUAUUGCUGAUCCUAAGAGAGUUCCUCCAGAAGGCAAGAUGAAAUCAUUUGCUGUACCAUGGAGCAGAAUGAUAAAAGAAGGCAAGUAAUAAAAUGAUCAAAACUCCAAAUGUUUGGUCACCUAUUUGGUUGGCAUGCUGUGGUUAACAAGGAUGGCGCAUCGUGCCAUUGAGAAUGCAAAGUGCUACACAGAACCUAUGCAUGGGAAUUGGAUAAUCACUAACGAAAUUACACAUGCAUUUCCUUUUUGACACAAAAAUCCCAAUUCUAAGAAGCUAUUGCAAAAUACAAGACGACUUCUGCACAGGUUGUUCACUGCAGUACUAUUUGAAAUAGCAAAUGACUGGAGACCAUCCAUAUAACCAAAAGUCUGGAACUGGUUGAAUAAAUAAGGGUAGAUCUACAUUAUGAAACAUACUAUUUAACUCGGGGGAGAAAAAAGCAAGGGCCAUUUCUUUACAUGAUGUGGAGUGAUCUCCAGGAUACAUACUAGCUUUAAAACACACACUCACUCACAUGGUACAGAAAGUAUAGUAGACUUUUUGGUAAGAUAGGUGAACUAUGAAUAUAUAUUUGUCUAUAUUUGGGACAGGAAAAAUCAUGUAGAGGAGAUCAACAGGUAAGCUAGACUACUCUGAAUAAACAUUUUCUAUAUAUCAUGUAUAUGAUUUUAUAUAUAUAUGUAUUGCAUACUCAAAAUAAUUUUAAAUCUAAAAAAUGCAGUUCUUAAAAUUCAAAAAUAAACUGGACCAGUCUAACCACAUAUUAAGUUGAUAGCACAAUUACAUCAAGUAAAUAAU
Molecule: long non-coding RNA, 1674 nt
Organism: Chinchilla lanigera (long-tailed chinchilla)
Lineage: Eukaryota; Metazoa; Chordata; Mammalia; Rodentia; Chinchillidae
Exons: 3
Source: RefSeq, a predicted model, not a curated record